This 402-nucleotide ribosomal RNA is filed under the name uncultured bacterium. RNAcentral's name for it is "bacterial SSU rRNA". It matches the Rfam family "Bacterial small subunit ribosomal RNA", at positions 355 to 775 of the family's 1533-position model. The record is from RNAcentral.
UGGGGAAUAUUGGACAAUGGGCGAAAGCCUGAUCCAGCCAUGCCGCGUGGAUGAUGACGGCCCUAGGGUUGUAAAGUCCUUUCGACGGGGAAGAUAAUGACGGUACCCGUAGAAGAAGCCCCGGCUAACUUCGUGCCAGCAGCCGCGGUAAUACGAAGGGGGCUAGCGUUGCUCGGAAUCACUGGGCGUAAAGCGCACGUAGGCGGCUUUCUAAGUCAGGGGUGAAAUCCUGGAGCUCAACUCCAGAACUGCCUUUGAUACUGGAGAGCUUGAGUUCGGGAGAGGUGAGUGGAACUGCGAGUGUAGAGGUGAAAUUCGUAGAUAUUCGCAAGAACACCAGUGGCGAAGGCGGCUCACUGGCCCGAUACUGACGCUGAGGUGCGAAAGCGUGGGAGCAAUCAG